RNAcentral lists this non-coding RNA (163 nucleotides) under uncultured Parasutterella sp. The record is from RNAcentral. Lineage: Bacteria; Pseudomonadati; Pseudomonadota; Betaproteobacteria; Burkholderiales; Sutterellaceae.
AUCGCGAGGUUCCGACUGAAGGAAGCCCGAGGCAAACCAUUGACCUUACGAACAGGAACGGUCUCAGGCAUAAGCUGUCGGGUAAGACUGCAUAACAAGUUGAAGCCCUAAGGCCACACGGAGACGGCAAUGUAUAGACCGAAGGUACAUGAUGGGAAAGAGU